GUGUUUCUCACUUCAGCAGCACAUGUACUAAAAUAGGAGUGAUCCAGAGAUUAGCAUGGCCAUACGUGAGGAUAACAUGCAAAUUCAUGAAGGGCUCCAUAUUCUU
Small nuclear RNA from Manis pentadactyla (Chinese pangolin), 106 nucleotides. Lineage: Eukaryota; Metazoa; Chordata; Mammalia; Pholidota; Manidae. The record is from RefSeq and is a predicted model, not a curated record.